This 601-nucleotide unclassified non-coding RNA is filed under the name Leptolyngbya boryana C7. Its description in RNAcentral is "partial contains 16S ribosomal RNA and 16S-23S ribosomal RNA intergenic spacer". The stretch from base 1 to 88 matches the Rfam family "Bacterial small subunit ribosomal RNA", at positions 1447 to 1533 of the family's 1533-position model. Lineage: Bacteria; Bacillati; Cyanobacteriota; Cyanophyceae; Leptolyngbyales; Leptolyngbyaceae. The record is from RNAcentral.
AGGAGGACGCCGAAGGUGGGGCUGAUGACUCGGGGUGAAGUCGUAACAAGGUAGCCGUACCGGAAGGUGUGGCUGGAUCACCUCCUUAAAAGGAGACCUACCCUCUCACUUGACUUAAGUUAGACAAAAUGAGAAAGGUCAACUAGGUCGUUCCAAGCUUUCCAUAAAUUUCGAUGUGCUUCUAAACUAUCCCGGUUCAGGGAUGGGGGCUAUUAACUCGGGUGGUUAGAGCCCACCCCUGAUAAGGGUGAGGUCCCUGGUUCCAGUCCAGGAUGGCCCACUCCAUAAAAACAAGGGGGUUUAACUCGGUUGAUAGACCGCCUGCUUUGCAAGAAGGAUGUCAUCGGUUCCAGUCCGCUAACCUCCACCAACCGAUUGAUUGAAUCACUCUGUUGAAUUUUUUGUUGAAUUGAGCGAUUGAGGAUAUGCGACACCAACUCAUCUGCGGUAUGUAGAGAGCCUGCUGGAUUAUAUCCAGUACAAGAACCAAGAAAACUGCAUAGUAUUGAUGUCAGGUAGAGAUACACACACACCAAUGUGAAGGACUAAAACUGAUUGAAAUAAUUAUUGGUCAACCUACAGAGGACAGAUGGUGGAUACC